Molecule: non-coding RNA, 248 nt
Organism: Cinara cedri
Lineage: Eukaryota; Metazoa; Arthropoda; Insecta; Hemiptera; Aphididae
Source: the annotation of a GenBank genome assembly
GGCGACUACAGAAUAAAUAUCAUAGACAAAAAUGUAAACUCGGCACCUAUUAGAAUUUGUCUCAUUUCGUGUUAUUUCUGAAAGUGUUCUACCUAAUACGAUUAAUUUCCAUGGAUAGACAAACACUUAACUACUUUACAUGUAUAAGUAUAGUUGAGUUAAAAAUAAUUUAAAUGACAAGUAUGCUUCAUUGUAUUUUUUGAAAAAUAACACUUGUAGUUUUAAAUCGAUUUUGAUCAAUAUUUAGU